Molecule: ribosomal RNA, 254 nt
Filed under: uncultured bacterium
Lineage: Bacteria
Description: partial 16S ribosomal RNA
Rfam family: Bacterial small subunit ribosomal RNA
Source: RNAcentral
UACGUAGGCAGCAAGCGUUGUUCGGAGUUACUGGGCGUAAAGGGUGUGUAGGCGGUUGCUUAAGUUUGGUGUGAAAUCUCCCGGCUCAACUGGGAGGGUGCGCCGAAUACUGAAUGACUUCGAGUGCGGGAGAGGAGAGUGGAAUUCCUGGUGUAGCGGUGAAAUGCGUAGAUAUCAGGAGGAACACCGGUGGUGUAGACGGCUCUCUGGACCGUAACUGACGCUGAGACACGAAAGCGUGGGUAGCAAACAGG